Molecule: ribosomal RNA, 521 nt
Filed under: uncultured Glomeraceae
Lineage: Eukaryota; Fungi; Glomeromycota; Glomeromycetes; Glomerales; Glomeraceae
Description: SSU rRNA
Rfam family: Eukaryotic small subunit ribosomal RNA
Source: RNAcentral
AGCAGCCGCGGUAAUUCCAGCUCCAAUAGCGUAUAUUAAAGUUGUUGCAGUUAAAAAGCUCGUAGUUGAAUUUCGGGAUCAAUACGUCGGUCGUGCUUCGGUACGUACUGGCGUCAUUGAUUUCUUCCUUCUGACGAACCAUGAUGUCAUUAACUUGGUGUCAUGGGAAAUCAGGACUGUUACUUUGAAAAAAUUAGAGUGUUUAAAGCAGGCUCACGCUUGAAUACAUUAGCAUGGAAUAAUGAAAUAGGACGUUCGAUCCUAUUUUGUUGGUUUCUAGGAUCAACGUAAUGAUUAAUAGGGAUAGUUGGGGGCAUUAGUAUUCAAUUGUCAGAGGUGAAAUUCUUGGAUUUAUUGAAGACUAACUACUGCGAAAGCAUUUGCCAAGGAUGUUUUCAUUAAUCAAGAACGAAAGUUAGGGGAUCGAAGACGAUCAGAUACCGUCGUAGUCUUAACCAUAAACUAUGCCGACUAGGGAUCGGAUGAUGUUAAUUAUUUAAUGACUCAUUCGGCGCCUUACG